AUGGCCAUUCCCAAGACUUUGCUUCUUGCCAUCGUAGGCUGCAUCUGCUUAUGCAGUAGUGUUGUUCUGUCAGCUCGCGAGCUCGGCGACGCGGCCAUGGUGGAGCGGCAUGAGCAGUGGAUGGCGAAGUUCAACCGCGUUUACAAGGACGGCACCGAGAAGGCACAGCGGUUCGAGGUGUUCAAGGCCAACGUUGCCUUCAUCGAGUCGUUCAACGCCGGAAACCACAAGUUCUGGCUCGGUGUCAACCAGUUUACCGACCUCACCAAUGAUGAGUUCAAGGCAACCAAGACCAACAAGGGCCUCAAGAGGAGCGGUAGCCAGGCUCCAACCGGGUUCAAGUACAACAAUGUCAGCACCGAUGCACUUCCAGCCGCUGUUGAUUGGAGAACCAAGGGUGCCGUCACGCCUAUCAAAGACCAAGGUCAAUGUGGUUGCUGCUGGGCCUUUUCAGCUGUGGCCGCGACCGAGUGCAUUGUGAAGUUGAGCACUGGAAAGCUUGUCUCUCUGUCGGAACAAGAGCUAGUUGACUGUGACAUUCAUGGUGUUGAUCAGGGUUGUGAGGGUGGCGAGAUGGACGACGCCUUCAAGUUCAUCAUCAAGAAUGGCGGCCUCACCACCGAGGCCAACUACCCCUACACCGCACAAGACGGACAAUGCAAGACCAGCAUUGCAAGCAACAGUGUUGCAACCAUCAAGGGCUACGAGGAUGUGCCUGCCAACGAUGAAUCUUCUCUUAUGAAAGCCGUGGCUAACCAGCCCGUGUCAGUAGCUGUGGAUGGAGGGGAUGUCAUAUUUUAA
This 801-nucleotide ribosomal RNA is filed under the name Triticum aestivum (bread wheat). Its description in RNAcentral is "partial small subunit ribosomal RNA". Lineage: Eukaryota; Viridiplantae; Streptophyta; Magnoliopsida; Poales; Poaceae. The record is from RNAcentral.